Molecule: long non-coding RNA, 366 nt
Organism: Hibiscus syriacus
Lineage: Eukaryota; Viridiplantae; Streptophyta; Magnoliopsida; Malvales; Malvaceae
Exons: 4
Source: RefSeq, a predicted model, not a curated record
GGGGACUUAGAGGACUUGUCUUGAGACCAAAUAUUCUUGCUUGUUGUAGUACAAUGGCACUUGAUGAUAAUGUCAAGUUAAAGCUCUCUCCGUUUUGCCAUGUUCCGGCCGAAAAUACUGUCACUCUCUAUGACGUUCCAAAUAUUUGGCACAUUCCUUUACUACUAAGAUAAUCUUGAAGAACAAACUUCAACAAAAAGCGGCUUCUUCAAUAGACUGGCACAGCGUUUCCCAUUUGUUUUUAAUCUAUUGAGGAGAGAUCAUUCACUGUCAAAUGAUACUUUCAAAUAAGAUGUCAAGACGAUGAAUAUGACAAAUUCCAAUGAAGUGGGAAACAAAGUAGCUUUAGAAGGCAUAUCUGGAGGU